CCCCCCACCCCAGACCACAUCCCCUUUUCUGGGCCAGCACACUCACCUACUUCCUGCUUCCUUGAUGGCGACCAGUGGCUCUCACCUGCCCCUUCUCUGGAGAAUGCCUUGUGCUCGUGAAUCCAUCAGGCUGUGCCUGUCGUGUGCUUGACAAGACGAUGUGCAGAAGAUGGAGGUCCCCAGGCAUGGCAACAGCUGGUUCUGUGACCAAGGCCUCCCCAGACUGCCUGCUACAGGCUACAGGCGAGAGUCCCCUGCCUUCCUCCUUCCUUGGCGCCCAGGUGCCUCUGCCCCCAGCCUAGGUUCCAGUGCCAUCUCCUCCUCUCUCGUUUGCCCCUCAGCCCCAGGGUGACCAGAACCCCUGCCUCAUGGGACAGCUUUCCAGCACUUUCCCCUUUUUAAGAGAUUGACUGCAAUUUCUAUAAUAACAUCACAUUAGCAAGAAAUUAAUGUCCUCAUUAAGACAGCAAUUAGGCACAUUAGCACAGCAAUAAAAGAGAAGCUUAUGAAAUAA
Camelus dromedarius (Arabian camel) is the source of this 514-nucleotide long non-coding RNA. RefSeq lists it as uncharacterized. The record is from RefSeq and is a predicted model, not a curated record. The transcript is spliced from 3 exons. NCBI's taxonomy places the organism in Eukaryota, Metazoa, Chordata, Mammalia, Artiodactyla, Camelidae.